AGCAAACACUAAAAAAAAACACUAAAUGUCACUCGCAGCCUUUGAAGCUCUUUUGUCCUGGCAUCUCCCAACACAUGAAACAGUGGACGGUGACCGUGAGGUUAGAACCCAAGGAUACAGCGCCUUUAAAAAACAAUGAUAGGAGAAAGCACACUGAUCCUGAUACCAGCAGAUGUUGAACUCCGAUGGAAAAAGGCGUCUCACGUCUCAUCAUCGGAGCCGCCGAGUGACGCUGGGAGCAGCAAAUGGAGUGGGUUUCAAAAGGCUGAAAAACUGUGUGAUGAAGAAGCCGGCCCAAGCUAAAGGGUGGACUUGCCUCAAGAAGAAAUUGGCACAGAGAACAACAACAAAAGAGACUGACAAAGUGUGUGAUGAAGGAAUUACAAGGCUGAUGCUAAAGAACAUGGCUUUAAACACCGAUGAAUGACUUUUAUGGCCCACAAGUAAGAUGGAUGUCCUCAUCCAUCCCAGAAUGCAUUGAGGGCCACUGCAGCGCCGCUGCUGUGAAACAGCGACACAACGUGAAUGGAACUCCUCCUCGUGCUGCCGCCACAAAUAUGUUCCGUGUUCUCUGGGAUUUAAGCGGCAGCUUUUCACGUCAGCUUAAUGGAUUCCAAUUGUCUGCUUUGGAGUGGCUUUUACACGCCGAGCUGAUCCACACACAGCACACGCUACAAAUAUAUACGACUCUGGCAGCGGUGUCUAAAGCGUGGCUGGGGGACCAUUUGCGGACGGUGCUGAUGUUUUAGUUCUCGAAGAAAAUUUGUCUUAAACUGUAUUAUGGAAAGCAGGAAGUGAACAAAUGUAACAGUUACUGAUUGUAAAAGUACCAGAUAGAGGGGUAGGAUUUAAUAAGAUUUGCUUCUUCCUACUCCUUUUGGACAUGUGGAACUGGGAACUGAUUAUGGGAUGCACUCAAUUGUAAUCUGAUGCAUGUUCAAAUGAAAUAAAACCAUUACCGUUACCAUUACAAAAAAGCAUUGCAUGGUACACGGCUUUUCCAAGGGUCGGGCACUCACAUGGGCGGAGCAGCAGAUUGAGAAAAAUAAAGAAAAAUAUAUUUUUGCUACUGAAACCCUGUCUUUUGAGGCAACAAAAAAAACUAGUGUAUCAAUGUAAAUUGAUAUUUUUUAGUAUUCACAUUCCGGAGCUGAAAGAUGUGAUCAGGCCAAACCAAUCCAUCCAUUUUCUAUGUAGCUUAUCCUCAUGAGGGAUGCUGGAGCCUAUCCCAGCUGACUUCUAGCAAGAGGUGGCAUACAGUUCAGGCCAAACUAAAUAUUAACAUGGACAGUAUGCAACGGUGCAGCUACCAAGGUGGCAGAAGUGCAUCUGAUGUGCUUGCAUGGAUCAUUUGCAUGCAUUAACACACUCAGCGACUGUGAUUGGCUGGCAACCAGGCCAGGGUGUACCCCGCCUGUCGCCCGAAGACAGCUGGGAUAGGCUCCAGCAUCGGAUGAAAGACAAGAGUCUAUUUUUUUUUCUUUCUUUUCGUGGGUUCCAUGUUUAUAUAGUCAUAGAAAACAAUAUUCUGUGUGCCAAAAUGGCCUAAAAUGGCUUGGAAGGGCUGUCUUUUGAAAAUGGCCGGUGUGUGGAUUGGACGAGGUUUAUUGUGUUAAAUAAACAAAACGUUAUAAAUAUGAAAGUGGCCACUGCAUACCUCAUUCAUUCUAUCUUAAAAACAUGCUUUAAUAAAACUUACUAACUUCAUGGGCUACACAAGCUCAUUAGAUCCAAUACAAGACGUCCUUUUAUGGUUGUUUCAGUCAACUUGCAUUCAGUACCGGUGAGGCAGUGACCCACCAGAUCCAGUAGAUGGUGCUGAACCCAUACAACAUACAUUUUCAAUUCAACACAUUUUCACGGUGGAGAGCUAUCAGGGACAUCCCUGAAUAUGACAACUCUCCGUGGACACUUUGACCUUGCAUCAUUAUUAUUACAUUAUUAGUGUUGCAUUCUGAUCCUAUAUUGCUACAUUGUUUACCCUGUUUCUAUUCUCCGCUUGGGCAUCUCCCUGUGGAGUUUGCAUGUUCUCCCCAUGCAUGCGUGGCUUUUCUCCGGGUACUCCGGUUUCCUCCCACAUUCCAAAAACAUGCUAGGUUAAUUGGCCACUCCAAAUUGUCCAUAGGUAUGAAUGUGAGUGUGAAUGGUUGUUUGUCUAUAUGUGCCCUGUGAUUGGCUGGCCACCAGUCCAGGGUGUACCCCGCCUCUCACCCGAAGACAGUUGGGAUAGGCUCCAGCAUACCCGCGACCCUCGUGAGGAUAAGCGGCAUAGAAAAAGGAUGUAUGGAUGUUUACCGUUAGAUAAUACACCUAUGUAUAUGUACAUAUAUAUAUGAUAUAUAUGUAUGUACAUAUAUACACAUGUAUAUAUAAAAAAAUGUAUAUAUAUAUGUGUGUGUGUGUGUGUGUGUGUGUGUGUGUGUGUGUGUGUGUGUGUGUGUGUGUGUGUGUGUGUGUAUAUAAAAUAUACAUCUAUUCCACCACAAAGUAAAUCCCACAGGAAGUAACCGAGUGGGAAGCGUGAAAAUAAGGCGAGACUAUUAUUUGCGCUUCCAGCAAAGCGCUAGAAGCAUCCAUCAAGUGCGCGCUGUCAUCCAUCAGCCAGCUGAGGCUGGGAUGAUGUGAGGAAAUCACUCAUGUCUACUUGAUCGAUGACAUCCGCUCAUACGCCACCUUCAACCUCGUAAAUAAUAUCCAUAUUUUCUUUUCUUUUUUGGCCGUUAAAGGACAAAUAAGGAGCUCUACAUUGUGAGGCAGGAGUCAAGAGUGUGUAUGCGUGUGAGAUGUGGAUAAAAAUCCCAUUCAUGUAUUUUUACCAGUCCGCAUCCUUGCUUGCCUCCAUCCUCAUCAUCCUACAUUUAGCCAGUAUCAGCCCACUCUCCCCCCCUGGUGGCGACUCUUGACAUGACCCCCUUCCCGCCGUCCCACAGCCCAGGCAGACGUUACAUCACUUCACCUCUCAUCUACGCUGACUAACAGGUAUGUCGUGGACGACAUUAUUUGGCGCCCCAUUGUGGUUAAAGGCCAACCACGUCCACGUCCACAACCAUGUCCACGUCACCAGCCAACAGAGCGGCUGAUAGCAUCAUCUGUGAGACUGAUGCUCGAAGCCUUGACUGUUCCUAAUGUUGUGGCUGGAGUAAAUGUGAGGCACAGCGUGGCCGCAGAGCUAUGCUGCCCAGCUGCACCACGGACAGAGGCCCCCCCUGGAAUCAGGGUGGUAAAGAAACAAAGCAUGCAGUAUAAAUCAGACCCACAGCAUCAAUGGGGAGCUUUUGUCUUUCAUGGCGGAGAGAAGAGACCACGCUGACAAAUUGCCAGCAGCUCCCCCUGCUGGGCACAUCCAAAAAGGACCCCUGGCCCUGACACCACCAUGUACUCCCCCUGGCAGAGUGUGUUCUCCACUUUUCAUUCAGGCCAGCAGGGAACAAAAGAUGCAUAAAAGCAGGAGAAGCGUGGAGGCCCACGCAGCAGCACAGUGAUGUGGGUGGUCGUACAACGUGUGUGUGCGUGUUUAAUACAUACGAGAGCUCAGCAAAGUCGGUCAUUUGGAUUCUGGCCAUGCGAGCCAGGAUCUCCAUCAUGUGCAGACCUUCAUCAGUCUGCAAGCCGCUGAAGAUGAUGAUGAUAAUACAUAGGAGGAGGAAGGAGGAAGGAAAGAAGAAUAGUGUUCAUCACAUGAUACCAGGUAUCAGGAUAUCUUAAUAUCUCAGCCGGA
Doryrhamphus excisus (bluestripe pipefish) is the source of this 3718-nucleotide non-coding RNA. Lineage: Eukaryota; Metazoa; Chordata; Actinopteri; Syngnathiformes; Syngnathidae. The record is from RefSeq and is a predicted model, not a curated record.